GUCAAUUUUUAACCAUUUUUUGUAAAUCUUAGUAAUCUUUUACAAAAAUCUUCUCCUCUGAAACUACUGGGCCAAAUUAAACUAAACUUGGCCACAAUCAUCAUUGGGAUAUCUAGUUUAAAAAAUGUGUGGCGUGACCCGGCCAAACAACCAAGAUGGCCGCCAUGGCUAAAAAUAGAACAUAGGGGUAAAAUUCAGUUUUUGACAUAUAACUCAAAAACCAAAGCAUUUAAAGUAAAUCUGACAUGAAGUAAAAUUGUUAAUCAGGUCAAGAUCUAUCUGCCCUGCAAUUUUCAGAUGAAUCGGACAACCCGUUGUUAGGUUGCUGCCCCUGAAUUGGUAAUUUUAAGGAAAUUUUGCUGUUUUUGGUUAUUAUCUUGAAUAUUUUUAUAGAUAGAGAUAAACUGUAAAAGCAAUAAAUGUCGGCAAAGUAAGAUCUACAAAUAAGUCAACAUGACCGAAAUGGUCAGUUGACCCUUUAGGAGUAUUGCCUUUAUAGUCAUUUUUAACCAUUUUCGUAAUCUAGUUAUCUUUCCAAAAAUCUUCUCCUCUGAAAACUACUGGGCAAGUUCAUUAUAGAUAGAGAUAUUGUAAGCAGCAAGAAUGUUCAGUAAAGUAAGAUGUACAACACACUCACCAUCACCCAAAACACAAUUUUGUCAUGAACCAUCUGCUUCCUUUGUUUAAUAUUCACAUAGACCAAGGUGAGCGACACAGGCUCUUUAGAGCCUCUAGUUUUCUUCUUGUUUUGGGUCCUACUAAAAUGCGCCCGGGUGAAGAAAAAGCGCCCGGGGAAGAAAAUAUAGCGCCCGGGGAAAAUAUAUAGAUAUUUUAUUGGCAUGAGACAACUUUGUUAAGUUAUGGACAUUGAUUUUUAGCUCACCUGGCCCGAAGGGCCAAGUGAGCUUUUCCCAUCACUUGGCGUCCGUCGUCCGUCGUCGUUAACUUUUACAAAAAUCUUCUCCUCUGAAACUACUGGGCCAAAUUAAACAAACUUGGCCACAAUCAUCAUUGGGGUACUAGUUUAAAAAAUGUGUGGCGUGACCCGCAACCAACCAAGAUGGCCCCCAUGGCUAAAAAUAGAACAUAGGGUAAAAUGCAGUUUUUGGCUUAUAACUCAAAAACCAAAGCAUUUAGAGCAAAUCUGACAUGGGGUAAAAUUGUUUAUCAGGUCAAGAUCUAUCUGCGCUCAAAUUUUCAGAUGAAUCCGACAACCCGUUAUUGGGUUGCUGCCCC
RNAcentral lists this long non-coding RNA (1236 nucleotides) under Mytilus galloprovincialis (Mediterranean mussel). The record is from RNAcentral. Lineage: Eukaryota; Metazoa; Mollusca; Bivalvia; Mytilida; Mytilidae.